UCCGCUGUGGCAGAGGCUGAAGGUGGUGGU
RNAcentral lists this non-coding RNA (30 nucleotides) under Rattus norvegicus (Norway rat). The record is from RNAcentral. Lineage: Eukaryota; Metazoa; Chordata; Mammalia; Rodentia; Muridae.